AACUCUGAACCAGCCAUGCCGCGUGCAGGAAGACUGCCCUAUGGGUUGUAAACUGCUUUUAUACAGGAAGAAACAGUGCUACGUGUAGCACCUUGACGGUACUGUAAGAAUAAGGACCGGCUAACUCCGUGCCAGCAGCCGCGGUAAUACGGAGGGUGCAAGCGUUAUCCGGAAUCAUUGGGUUUAAAGGGUCCGCAGGCGGUCAAUUAAGUCAGAGGUGAAAUCCCAUAGCUCAACUAUGGAACUGCCUUUGAUACUGGUUGACUUGAGUUAUACGGAAGUAGAUAGAAUAUGUAGUGUAGCGGUGAAAUGCAUAGAUAUUACAUAGAAUACCGAUUGCGAAGGCAGA
Molecule: ribosomal RNA, 349 nt
Filed under: uncultured Tenacibaculum sp.
Lineage: Bacteria; Pseudomonadati; Bacteroidota; Flavobacteriia; Flavobacteriales; Flavobacteriaceae
Description: bacterial SSU rRNA
Rfam family: Bacterial small subunit ribosomal RNA
Source: RNAcentral